UCAGCGACUUAUAUUCUGUAGCAAGGUUAACCGAAUAGGGGAGCCGAAGGGAAACCGAGUCUUAACUGGGCGUUAAGUUGCAGGGUAUAGACCCGAAACCCGGUGAUCUAGCCAUGGGCAGGUUGAAGGUUGGGUAACACUAACUGGAGGACCGAACCGACUAAUGUUGAAAAAUUAGCGGAUGACUUGUGGCUGGGGGUGAAAGGCCAAUCAAACCGGGAGAUAGCUGGUUCUCCCCGAAAGCUAUUUAGGUAGCGCCUCGUGAAUUCAUCUCCGGGGGUAGAGCACUGUUUCGGCAAGGGGGUCAUCCCGACUUACCAACCCGAUGCAAACUGCGAAUACCGGAGAAUGUUAUCACGGGAGACACACGGCGGGUGCUAACGUCCGUCGUGAAGAGGGAAACAACCCAGACCGCCAGCUAAGGUCCCAAAGUCAUGGUUAAGUGGGAAACGAUGUGGGAAGGCCCAGACAGCCAGGAUGUUGGCUUAGAAGCAGCCAUCAUUUAAAGAAAGCGUAAUAGCUCACUGGUCGAGUCGGCCUGCGCG
Molecule: ribosomal RNA, 545 nt
Filed under: Escherichia coli
Lineage: Bacteria; Pseudomonadati; Pseudomonadota; Gammaproteobacteria; Enterobacterales; Enterobacteriaceae
Description: partial 23S ribosomal RNA
Rfam family: Bacterial large subunit ribosomal RNA
Source: RNAcentral